UGUGUACUCCCUCCGUUCCAAAAUACUUGACUUCCAUUUGUCCAAAAAUGGAUGUACCUAUAUACUAAGACAUGUCUAGAUACAUAUAUAUUUUUACAAAUAGAAGGCAUGUAUUGUGCAACGGAGGGAGUAGAAU
Triticum aestivum (bread wheat) is the source of this 136-nucleotide non-coding RNA. Lineage: Eukaryota; Viridiplantae; Streptophyta; Magnoliopsida; Poales; Poaceae. The record is from Rfam.